UGCAUAUCCCAAAAGCGGAGGAAAAGAAACCAACAGGGAUUGCCUCAGUAACGGCGAGUGAAGCGGCAAAAGCUCAAAUUUUAAAGCUGGCAUCUUCGGUGUCCGCGUUGUAAUUUUGUGAGGCAUCUCCGGGUAGGGCGCCGGCCUAAGUUCCUUGGAACAGGACGUCACAGAGGGUGAGAAUCCCGUGCUUGGCUGGCUGUCCCCGUCCAUGUGAGGUGUCUUCGACGAGUCGAGUUGUUUGGGAAUGCAGCUCAAAAUGGGUGGUAAAUUUCAUCUAAAGCUAAAUAUUGGUGGGAGACCGAUAGCGCACAAGUAGAGUGAUCGAAAGAUGAAAAGCACUUUGAAAAUAGAGUUAAAAAGUACGUGAAAUUGUUGAAAGGGAAGCGCUUGAGACCAGACUUCGGUAGGGGGUGAUCAGCCGUGCUUCGGUGCGGUGCACUUGUUCCUCUCUGGGCCAGCAUCGGUUGAGGCGGCGGGAUAAAGGUCCCGGGAAUGUGGCUCCUUCACGGGAGUGUUAUAGCCCGGGUGAAUGCCGCCAGCUUCGACCGAGGACCGCGCCCGCAAGGGUUAGGAUGCUUGGCAUAAUGGUCUUCAGCGACCCGUCUUGAACCACGG
Molecule: ribosomal RNA, 618 nt
Filed under: Morchella sextelata
Lineage: Eukaryota; Fungi; Ascomycota; Pezizomycetes; Pezizales; Morchellaceae
Description: partial large subunit ribosomal RNA
Rfam family: Eukaryotic large subunit ribosomal RNA
Source: RNAcentral